AGAAACAAUGCCAUGGUUCAACGCAGAGCGUUACCCAACUUAACAAGUCAUUAAAGUAUGGAUAUUCGUAAAUUUCCAAUAAGAAUCCAGGAAGAUACCUAUGGAGGAAGAAGAGCUAUGUACGCUACUUGGGUUUGGUACAGUGGGGAGUGUGAAUUAAGAGUAAGAUUUAGAAUGUUCACGUUCAUCUUAUAUAUUAUCCGGUCAUUGCACGGUAAAUAGGCCUUCAAAUUUCACUCCCCUUGAAGCGUAAAAGACGU
RNAcentral lists this long non-coding RNA (260 nucleotides) under Olea europaea (common olive). Its description in RNAcentral is "long non-coding RNA (OEUR_LNC008349)". Lineage: Eukaryota; Viridiplantae; Streptophyta; Magnoliopsida; Lamiales; Oleaceae. The record is from RNAcentral.